CCUACGGGAGGCAGCAGUAGGGAAUAUUGCUCAAUGGGGGAAACCCUGAAGCAGCAACGCCGCGUGGGUGAAGGAGUGCUUCGGCAUGUAAAGCCCUAUCGGCAGGGAAGAAGCAAGACGGUACCUGACUAAGAAGCCCCGGCUAACAACGUGCCAGCAGCCGCGGUAAUACGUAGGGGGCGAGCGUUAUCCGGAUUCACUGGGUGUAAAGGGAGCGUAGACGGCCAUGCAAGCCAGGGGUGAAAGCCCGGGGCCCAACCCCGGGACUGCCCUUGGAACUGCAUGGCGGGAGUGCGGGAGGGGCAGGCGGAAUUCCUGGUGUAGCGGUGAAAUGCGUAGAUAUCAGGAGGAACACCGGCGGCGAAGGCGGCCUGCUGGACCGCGACUGACGUUGAGGCUCGAAAGCGUGGGGAGCGAACAGGAUUAGAUACCCCGGUAGUC
RNAcentral lists this ribosomal RNA (441 nucleotides) under uncultured bacterium. RNAcentral describes it as "partial 16S ribosomal RNA". It matches the Rfam family "Bacterial small subunit ribosomal RNA", at positions 338 to 795 of the family's 1533-position model. The record is from RNAcentral.